RNAcentral lists this ribosomal RNA (366 nucleotides) under uncultured eukaryote. RNAcentral's name for it is "SSU rRNA". It matches the Rfam family "Eukaryotic small subunit ribosomal RNA", at positions 587 to 972 of the family's 1831-position model. The record is from RNAcentral. RNAcentral also lists the same sequence under 1 other name.
AGCUCCAAUAGCGUAUAUUAAAGUUGUUGCAGUUAAAAAGCUCGUAGUUGAACUUUGGGCCUGGGCGGGCGGUCUACCUAUGGUAAGUACUGUUGCGGCCGGGUCUUUUCCUUCUGGCUAGCUCUUUCGGGAGCGAACCAGGACGAUUACUUUGAGGAAAUUAGAGUGUUCAAAGCAGGCCUUUGCUCGGAUAUAUUAGCAUGGAAUAAUAGAAUAGGACGUUAUGGUUCUAUUUUGUUGGUUUCUAGGACCAUCGUAAUGAUUAAUAGGGACGGUCGGGGGCAUCAGUAUUCAGUUGUCAGAGGUGAAAUUCUUGGAUUAACUGAAGACUAACUACUGCGAAAGCAUUUGCCAAGGACGUUUUCA